This 465-nucleotide ribosomal RNA is filed under the name uncultured bacterium. RNAcentral describes it as "partial 16S ribosomal RNA". It matches the Rfam family "Bacterial small subunit ribosomal RNA", at positions 339 to 795 of the family's 1533-position model. The record is from RNAcentral.
CUACGGGCGGCAGCAGUGGGGAAUAUUGGACAAUGGGGGAAACCCUGAUCCAGCAAUGCCGCGUGUGUGAAGAAGGCCUGCGGGUUGUAAAGCACUUUCGGUUGGGAGGACUGCUUCUAGCACUAAUAUUGUUGGAAGUUGACGUUACCUUCAGAAGAAGCACCGGCUAACUCCGUGCCAGCAGCAGCGGUAAUACGGAGGGUGCAAGCGUUAAGCGGAAUUACUGGGCGUAAAGCGCGCGUAGGCGGCUAGAUCAGUCGGGUGUGAAAGCCCCGGGCUUAACCUGGGAACUGCAUCCGAUACUGUCUAGCUUGAGUACAGGAGAGGAGAGUGGAAUUCCACAUGUAGCGGUGAAAUGCGUAGAUAUGUGGAGGAACACCAAUGGCGAAGGCAGCUCUCUGGCCUGAUACUGACGCUGAGGUGCGAAAGCGUGGGGAGCAAACAGGAUUAGAUACCCUCGUAGUC